Molecule: long non-coding RNA, 6324 nt
Filed under: Salmo salar (Atlantic salmon)
Lineage: Eukaryota; Metazoa; Chordata; Actinopteri; Salmoniformes; Salmonidae
Description: lncRNA (ENSSSAG00000103731.1)
Source: RNAcentral
GUUAAUCAGACCUCCAAUCUCCUCUUUCACUGUGACAGUUCUCUUCCUCCCCCUCUUUCACUGUAACAUCCUCCUCUUCUUUCAAUCUUGUCAGAGCCUCUUUCAUUCCAAAAGCUUAUUUUUCCCUCUGCUUUCACUACAUAACUCCAGCAUCUCUCCAGGCGAGGGGUCCACUCAUCCUCCUCGGAGUCACUGGGUGCGAGAAGCUGAGCAUUGUUCACCAGUUUAAAUCUGCCUCUCCUCAUAAAAGCAGGUACUGGGGAGUUCAGCCCUGAGGGACACAUUCGCACACACAGCAGAGAUACUGCUCAAUACAACACAUAGUAGAGACACUGCUCAAUACAACAGUCGCCAUGUCUGAAAUCUGGCUUGCCUUAAACUGUAUAGUAUUUAGAAUGUACCGUUUCAUAAAAACUAAUGCAGUAAGCAAAAAAAAAUCUGCAUACUAGGCUAAUUCUACGUAUAAUCUAAUGCGCAAUUACGUUGAUUCCAGACAUUCGUUCAUUUUUGUAGAGCGCAUCCCAUCAACUAUUAUCAGAGCUGUUGUCAAAAAAUACUAAUAAUCACAUACACAAAAUGCCUACUAUUUAGAAUGCAUGUACAGGUAUUCGAACAUGGCCAAUGACUCCUAAAACGUGUAAAGACACACAGCUAGCUAACGUAUCUAAUCACCUAAUCUAAAACAUUCAGAUACCUUUCAAGUAAUAGUGAUGCAUUUAAAAUGUCCAUGAUAUAGGUCCAGGGGGGACACUUACCUAUAGCCAGGUGGUUCCUCUUCAAGUUUCUGUAGUGCACUCUCUCACAUUUCACUAGACCGGUCCAUUCCAUCUUUGAGAAAUAGGUCUUCAAAUCCUUGAAGUCAUACUAGGGGUGUGUGCAGGUGUAUCAUGGUGCAAAUGGCACAAGCAGACACUGAGCAUAUCAGCUAGCUAACUGUUAACGUUAGACAGCUUUACCGAUAACUAGCUAAUGUUUAUCCGGAUGAGUGGUCCAAUCCCCAUCUUCAAAUAUUAUGGCAACUACAUAAACUUUAAUUUGUGUUAGGUUUGUCCAUGCUACGCUAGCCGGAAGAUUCCCACCCUUCCAUUACACUUGUUUACAUUGAGCUGCACUGGGGUCUCAGGCCUAUCAAACCAUGAUGGCAUUAUCUGUCAUGGGUAUUACAUUUACAUCAUUUAGCAGACGCUCUUAUCCAGAGCGACUUACAAAUUGGUGCAUUCACCUUAUGAUAUCCAGUGGAACAACCACUUUACAAUAGUACAUCUAUAUCUUUUUUUGUGGGGGGGGGGGUUAGAAUGAUUACUUUAUCCUAACCCAGGUAUUCCUUAAAGAGGUGGGGUUUCAGGUGUCUCCGGAAGGUGGUGAUUGACUCCGCUGUCCUGGCAUCGUGAGGGAGUUUGUUGUACAUAGAAGCUGUUGUACACCAAGGGCACAGAUAAAAAUCUUUGCUAACUAGCUCCUUGUUCUACAGGAGGGUCUGAGUGAAGCGACCCACAGCACCAGUGGAAGGGAGGCAGGACGUUCCACUCAGGGAGGAGGGGCAGACACCCCAGCUCUCACUCAGAGAGGGACUCCCUUGUUGCACCCCAAACCAUCAACCUCAGGUAACAGGGACAGGAACAGACUGUUAGAAUUUUGAUAUUAUGAUUUUAUUUGGUCUGAGAGAAAAGAUGGGGCACAUUGACUGUUUCUGGAAAAACACUUAUAAACAAUAAUUAUUAUUAUCUUAUUCCACAUGCAAUACGGCUAUUAUUUUCAGUUGUGUGUGUAGUGCCUCCAGAAAGUAUUCACACCCCUUGACUUUUUCCCCAAAACAUUUUGUUACAGCCUGAAUUAUUAUUUAUUUAAUUGAGAUGUUUUUGUCACUGGCCUACACACAAUACCCCAUAAUGUCAAAGUUAAAUUAUGUUUUCAAAAUUGUUACUAAUUAAUGAAACAUUUUUAAAGUUGAAAUGUCUGUUCAACCCAUUUGUUCCUGAGUAAACAUUUGCUUAACAAGUCACAUAAUAAGUUGCCUGGACUCACUCUGUGUGCAAUAAUAGUGUUUACCUUAAUUUUUGAAUGACUACCUCAUCUCUGUACCCCAAAAAAUACAAUAAUCUAUAAGGUCCCUCAGUCGAGCAGUAAAUGUCAAAUAAACACCAGGGAUGUUUACCAUUGCCUCACAGAGAAGGGCACUUAUUGGUAGAUGGGUAAAAAAAAGCAAACAUUGAAUAUCCUUUUGAGCAUGGUGAAGUUAGUCAUUUCACUUUGGAUGGUCUAUCAAUACAUUACAAAGAUACAGGCGUCCUUCCUAACUCAGUUGCCGGAGAGGAAGGAAACCACUCAGGGAAUUUCACCAUGAGCCCAAUGGUGACUUUAAAAUUGUUAUAGUUUAAUGGCUGUGAUAGGAGAAAACUGAGGCUGGAUCAACAUUGUAGUUACUACACAAAACUAACCUAAUUGACAGAGUGAAAAUAAGGAAACCUGUACAGAAUAAAGAAUAUUCCAAAACAUGCAUUCUGUUUGCAAAAGGCACACAAAUAAUACUGCAACGAUUGUGGCAAAGCAAUUCACUUUUUAUCCUGAAUACAAAGUGUUAUGUUUGGGGCAAAUAUACCACAUUACUGAAUACCAUUCUCCAUAUUUUCAAGCAUAGUGGUGGCUGCAUCAUGUUAUGUUAUGGGUAUGCUUGUAAUCAGGCUGUUUUUCAGGAUAAAAAAGAAACAGAAUGGAGCUAAGCACAGGCAAAAUCCUAGAGGAAAACCUGGUUGUCUGCUUUCCACCAGACGAUGAAUUCACCUUUCAGCAGGACAAUAACUUAAAACACAAGGCAAAAUCUACACUGAAGUUGCUUAUCAAGAAGACAGUGGAUAUUCCUGAGUGGCCGAGGUAGAUUUAAGUCAAAACUAUGGCAAGGCCUGAAAAUGGUUGUAUAGCAAUGAUCAACCACUCCAGACCACCUUUACUCCACACACAGAGACGCAUACAAAGCUCUCCCUUGCCCUCCAUUCGGCAAAUCUGACCAUAAUUCUAUCCUCCUGAUUCCUGCUUACAAGCAAAAACUAAAGCAGGAACUACCAGUGACUCGCUCAAUACAAAACUGGUCAGAUACCGCAGAUGCUACGCUACAGGACUGUUUUUCUAGCACAAACUGGAAUAUGUUCCGUGAUUCAACCAAUGGCAUUCAGGAGUAUACCAUCUCAGUCAACCGGCUUUAUCAAAAAGUGCAUCGAGGAUGUUGUCCCCACAGUGUGUGUACGUACAUAUCCCAACAUGACACCAUGGAUUACAGGCAACAUCCGCAUCAAGCAAAAGGUGAGAGCUGCCACCUUCAAGGAGCGGGACACUAAUCCGGACGCUUAUAAGAAAUUCCUCUAAGCCCCCAGACGAACCAUCAAACAGACAAAGUGUCAAUACAGGACUAAGAUUGAAUCCUACUACACUGGCUCUGACGCUCGUCGGAUGUGGCAGGGCUUGCAAACUAUUACGGACUACAAAGGGAAACCCAGCCUACCAGAUGAGCUAAAUACCUUAUAUGCUCGCUUCGAGGCAAGCGACACUGAAGCAUGCAUGAGAACACCAGCUGUUCUGGACGACUGUGAUCACGCUCUCCGUAGCCGAUGUGAGCAAGUCCUUUUAAACAGGUCAACAUUCACAAAGCCACAGGGCCAGAUGGAUUACCAGGACGUGUACUCAAAGCAUGUGCGGACCAACUGGCAAAUGUCUUCAUUGACAUUUUCAACCACUCCCUGACCGAGUCUGUAAUACCUACAUGUAAUACCAUAGUCCCUGUGCCCAAGAAAGCGAAGGUAACCUGCCUGUAGCACUCACGUCAGUAGCCAUGAAGUGCUUUGAAAGGCUGGUCAUGAAUCACAUCAACACCAACACCAUCAUCCUGGAAACCCUAGACCCACUCCAAUUCGCAUACAUCCACAGAUGACGCAAUCUCAAUCGCACUCCCCACUUUGACUACAGCUCAGUAUUCAAUACCAUAGUACCCAAAAAGCUCAUCACUAAGCUAAGGAACCUGGGACUAAACACCUCCCUCUGCAAUUGGAUGCUGGAUUUCCUGACGGGUCACCCCCAGGUGUUAAGGGUUGGCAACAACACAACACAACACAUCUGGAAUCAACACCAAUCCAGAUAUGUCACAGACAUGCAUCAUCAGAGUGCGCAACAGGACAUUGUACUGUCUACACUCGGUUUGUUUAUAUUAAAACAUUUUCAUUAAAUCGAUUUUAAUCCGAACUAAAGUUUUGUUGCUAAGGAUUCCACAACGCGGUUAGCCUUUACCGCUGGGACUGCUUUGUGUUCCUUCUUUUGCGUGGAUUCUGUGAGUGCUAGCUGGUUGUUCUACAGACACAUGUCGUCGUCGUGGGAAAGACUCAUUGUUAUCUUUUCGUAAAACAACUGGUUGAAGUAAAGAGCCAAUCUGGAUACUAAGGAGAUCAUGAGGGAAAUCGACGAGUACCAACAGCUUUACGCUAUGGAGGAACAACAUACUCCAUCAUGGAAAGAUCCGACUACCUCACAAAAUAACUUUUAACCCGACAAAAAAAAGAAACAUUAAUCUACAGACAUGGACGAUUUACUUACCAUUGAGGUAGUGGCUAGUGCUCUGGCUGGAAUCCAUGCAACACUGGAAAAGUUGUGUGAGGAGGUAGCAGGGCUGAGGGGGAGUUUGGAGUUCAGCCAGAGUGAAAUUCUCACGCUCCAAAGAGGAAACAAGACACUCACAGCCAAGGUAAAAAUCCACGAUUCCAACAUGGAUUGUCUACUCAGGGAAAACAGGGUGAUGAAGGAGUCGCUACUAGACAUACAAAGUCGUAGCAUGCGUGAAAAUCUAUUUUUCCUGGGAUUCCUGACGACACAUCCAAUAAUCCGGAGGGUGCGAUCAGAGAAUUCAUGCAAUCCGCCUUGAAACUUCCUCUAGAGACUGUAAACAAGGUGGCUUUCCACCGAGUACACAGACUUGGGGCGACAAGACCAAGGGUCCCCGACCGAUCAUCACAAAAUCUGAACACUACCAACAAAAGGAGCUGAUCAAAAGCAGGGGAAGGGAGCUGAAAGGGACCAAAUUCGGUCUCAAUGACCAGUUUCCAAGGGAGAUAAACGGCCGUUGUAAGAGACUAUCCAGUACAAAGACAACAAAGGAAGGAUGGCUGUAACACAACACUGGUGUGAAUACUUUCUGAAAGCACUGUAGACUGGUGUGUGUGUGUGAGUGUGUGUGUGUGUGUGUCAGACCUGUGUAAGAAGAGAGAGUGGCUGGAAAGGCAGAAAGCACUAAACACAUACAAGCACGGUAGAAACCUGAGAGACAGACCAAGAAUCACUUACACAGAGGAGGAGGUCCCCAAAGAUGACCACUACCUCUACUGUGAGGAUUGCAAGUCUUUCUUCAUGGAGGAGUGUGAGCUCCAUGGUCCUGCCUUCUUCGUCCCUGACAUCCCUGCCCCCUUAGGAGCCCCUGAUAGGGCCAGACUCACCCUGCCAUCCGGCCUGGAGGUCAGGACAUCCGGCAUCCCUGAAGCAGGACUGGGUGUGUUCAACCAAGGAAACACUGUGCCUGCAGGAGCCCACUAUUAUGAAGGAGAGAUUACAGACAAGGACCAGGCCAUGGAGAGUGGAUACUCCUGGGUGUUGAGAGGAGUGUGUGUGUGAUAUAACACAUUUCCAUAAGUAUUCAGACCCUUUACUCAGUACUUUGUUGAAUCACCUUUGGCAGCGAUUACAGUAUCAAGUCUUCUUGGGUAUGACAUUACAAGCUUGGCACACCUGUAUUUAGGGAGUUUCUCCCAUUCUUCUUAGCAGAUCCUCUCAAGCUCUGUCAGGUUGGAUGGGGAGUGUUGCUGCACAGCUAUUUUCAUGUCUCUCCAGAGAUGUUCAAUCGGGUUCGCACGGGCUCUGGCUGGGCCACUCAAGGACAUUCAGAGACUUGUCCCGAAGCCACUCCUGAGUUGUCUUGGCUGUGUGCUUAGGGUCGUUGUCCUGUUGGAAGGUGAACCUUCGCCCCAGUCUGAGGUCCUGAGCGCUCUGGGGCACAUUUUCAUCAAGGACGUCUCUAUACUUUGCUCCGUUCAUCUUUCCCUCGAUCCUGACUAGUCUCCCAGUCCCUGCCGCUGUAAAACAUCCCCACAGCAUGGAGCUCUGUCAGAGUGACCAUCGGGUUCUUGGUCACCUCCCUGACCAAGGCCCCCCCUGCUCAUCCAGAAGGAGAGGUCAGUACAGGGGCAUCAAAGCUGGGACUGAGACUGAAAAACAGCUUCUAUCUCAAGGCCACCAGACUGUUAAAUAGCCAUCACUAGCACAUAGAGGCUGCUUUCUAUAUACAUAGAUUUG